GCGCGAGUGGCGAAAUUGGCAUACGCGCAAGGUUUAGGUCCUUGUGUCUUCGGACGUGGGGGUUCGAGUCCCCCCUCGCGCA
Molecule: transfer RNA, 82 nt
Filed under: Candidatus Stackebrandtia faecavium
Lineage: Bacteria; Bacillati; Actinomycetota; Actinomycetes; Glycomycetales; Glycomycetaceae
Description: tRNA-Leu
Rfam family: tRNA
About the family: Transfer RNA (tRNA) molecules are approximately 80 nucleotides in length.
Source: RNAcentral